AAAAAACUAGCUCAAUAGGAUAGAGCGUCAGACUGAUAAUCUGAAGGUUGCUGGUUCAAAUCCGGCAUUUCCGU
RNAcentral lists this transfer RNA (74 nucleotides) under Verrucomicrobiales bacterium. Its description in RNAcentral is "tRNA-Ile". The stretch from base 8 to 66 matches the Rfam family "tRNA", at positions 8 to 63 of the family's 71-position model. Rfam says of the family: Transfer RNA (tRNA) molecules are approximately 80 nucleotides in length. The record is from RNAcentral. Lineage: Bacteria; Pseudomonadati; Verrucomicrobiota; Verrucomicrobiia; Verrucomicrobiales.